UACGGGGGGGGCAAGCGUUGUUCGGAAUUACUGGGCGUAAAGGGCUCGUAGGCGGCCAACUAAGUCGAACGUGAAAUCCCUCAGCUUAACUGGGGAACUGCGUCCGAUACUGAUUGGCUUGAAUCCGGAAGAGGGAUGCGGAAUUCCAGGUGUAGCGGUGAAAUGCGCAGAUAUCAGGAGGAACACCAACAGCGAAGGCAGCUCGCUGGGACGGUACUGACGCUGAGGCGCGAAAGCGUGGGGAGCGAACAGG
Molecule: ribosomal RNA, 253 nt
Filed under: uncultured bacterium
Lineage: Bacteria
Description: partial 16S ribosomal RNA
Rfam family: Bacterial small subunit ribosomal RNA
Source: RNAcentral